UCAAAUUUCUUCCCUAUCAACUUUCGAUGCGAAGGUAUUGUCUUCGCAUGGUUGCAACGGGUAACGGAGGGUUAGGGCUCGACCCCGGAGAAGGAGCCUGAGAAACGGCUACUACAUCCAAGGAAGGCAGCAGGCGCGCAAAUUACCCAAUCCCGACACGGGGAGGUAGUGACAAUAAAUACUGAUACAGGGCUCUUUUGGGUCUUGUAAUCGGAAUGAGUACAAUUUAAAUCCCUUAACGAGGAACAAUUGGAGGGCAAGUCUGGUGCCAGCAGCCGCGGUAAUUCCAGCUCCAAUAGCGUAUAUUAAAGUUGUUGUGGUUAAAAAGCUCGUAGUUGAACCUUGGGCCUGGCUGGCCGGUCCCCCUCACCGGGUGCACUGAUCCAGCCGGGCCUUUCCCUCUGUGGAACCCCAUGGCCUUCACUGGCUGUGGCGGGGAAACAGGACUUUUACUUUGAAAAAAUUAGAGUGCUCCAGGCAGGCCUAUGCUCGAAUACAUUAGCAUGGAAUAAUAGAAUA
Molecule: ribosomal RNA, 519 nt
Filed under: Lomentospora prolificans
Lineage: Eukaryota; Fungi; Ascomycota; Sordariomycetes; Microascales; Microascaceae
Description: Scedosporium prolificans Eukaryotic small subunit ribosomal RNA
Rfam family: Eukaryotic small subunit ribosomal RNA
Source: Rfam by way of RNAcentral